This 1164-nucleotide ribosomal RNA is filed under the name Lophodermium agathidis. RNAcentral describes it as "eukaryotic LSU rRNA". It matches the Rfam family "Eukaryotic large subunit ribosomal RNA", at positions 69 to 1412 of the family's 3401-position model. The record is from RNAcentral. Lineage: Eukaryota; Fungi; Ascomycota; Leotiomycetes; Rhytismatales; Rhytismataceae.
CAGGGAUUGCCUCAGUAACGGCGAGUGAAGCGGCAACAGCUCAAAUUUGAAAGCUGGCUUCGGCCCGCGUUGUAAUUUGUAGAGGACGCUUCGGGUGCGGCCCCGGUCUAAGUUCUUUGGAACAGGACGUCAUAGAGGGUGAGAAUCCCGUAUAUGGCUGGUGGCCUGUGCCUAUGUGAAGCUCCUUCGACGAGUCGAGUUGUUUGGGAAUGCAGCUCAAAAUGGGAGGUGUAUUUCUUCUAAAGCUAAAUAUUGGCCAGAGACCGAUAGCGCACAAGUAGAGUGAUCGAAAGAUGAAAAGCACUUUGGAAAGAGAGUUAAAUAGUACGUGAAAUUGUUGAAAGGGAAGCGCUUGCAAUCAGACUUGCGCGGCGUUGAUCAACCUGGGUUCUCCCGGGUGCACUCGGCGCCGCUCAGGCCAGCAUCAGUUUCGGUGGUGGGAUAAAGGCCCAGGGAACGUGAGUCGCUUCGGUGACUGUUAUAGCCCUGGGUGCCAUGCUGCCUAUCGGGACUGAGGACCGCGCUUCGGCUAGGAUGCUGGCGUAAUGGUUGUAAGCGACCCGUCUUGAAACACGGACCAAGGAGUCAACCACUUGUGCGAGUGUUUGGGUGUUAAACCCAUACGCGUAAUGAAAGUGAACGGAGGUGAGAGCCCUCGGGUGCAUCAUCGACCGAUCCUGAUGUCUUCGGAUGGAUUUGAGUAAGAGCAUAAUCGGUUGGACCCGAAAGAUGGUGAACUAUACUUGAAUAGGGUGAAGCCAGGGGAAACCCUGGUGGAGGCUCGCAGCGGUUCUGACGUGCAAAUCGAUCGUCAAAUUUGAGUAUAGGGGCGAAAGACUAAUCGAACCAUUGGAACAGAGAACCUAGCUUCUAGGUGGUUGAGAGACGGCUCGGCCGUCUAGUUUCCUUGCGGAAGCUAUACUGCAAACGUGCGGGGACCCUCUGAUGGCCUACGCUACCGCUGCGACCGCUGAAAGGCGGGCGUGGCACCGGUUUGCUCCGGGUACGGUAACAAUGCGUUGGGAUUGAGCGAUCCGCAGCCCGUUCCCUAAGGCCCCCUCCGGGGGCUACGGGGACGGUUCAUCGACUAGAUGGCAGUGGGUGCGGCCUCCAGGCCGCGCCUAAGGUAUAGUCAGACCGUGGCAGCGAUACCGUGGCAGCUCG